RNAcentral lists this ribosomal RNA (135 nucleotides) under uncultured eukaryote. RNAcentral's name for it is "partial 18S ribosomal RNA". The record is from RNAcentral.
CUACUACCGAUUGAAUAGGAUYAGUAGAGCUCCASGGNAUUGAGGCGCCUUUGAGAGCAACCAAAGGUAGUUUCUGAGAACUAGAGAUCAAACUUAGCUCAUUUACGAGGAAGUCAAAAGUCGUCAACACAGGUU